GUUUUAGAAUCUGGCGAUCGGGCGGGCCACUUGGGCCAAUCGCCCUGUGUUCCUUGGAAAGGGAAAGCAGAGGGCGGAGAGCCCUCUAUCUGAUCACGAUUCCACCUCCGGAGGGUCCCUACCUCCGUUCUGUCAGAAGAUCCUUGAGACUCGCAAUCGAGAGGAUCUCCUGGAUCAAAGGUUCCAAGAGAUAAACUGAC
RNAcentral lists this long non-coding RNA (200 nucleotides) under Elaeis guineensis (African oil palm). RNAcentral describes it as "long non-coding RNA (EGUI_LNC012299)". The record is from RNAcentral. Lineage: Eukaryota; Viridiplantae; Streptophyta; Magnoliopsida; Arecales; Arecaceae.